This is a long non-coding RNA of Catharus ustulatus (Swainson's thrush), 209 nucleotides long. RefSeq lists it as uncharacterized. The transcript is spliced from 3 exons. Lineage: Eukaryota; Metazoa; Chordata; Aves; Passeriformes; Turdidae. The record is from RefSeq and is a predicted model, not a curated record.
GGGGGGCGUGGUCUCGGCGAGCGGCGGGAAUGGCGGGCGAGCUGAGCGCUGAGGCGGCGCGGGAGCUGCGCCAACUUCAAAAAUCCAAGGAGAAAUUUCGACAACUGGGGAAUUCCGCGGAGCUGGCGGCGACCUGCAACAGAAUGGGAGAGCUGCUGGCAAGCCAGGGAAGGUUCCAGGAGGCCCUGCAGGAGCACAGGGAGGAGCUG